UGGGGAAUUUUCCGCAAUGGGCGCAAGCCUGACGGAGCAAUACCGCGUGAGGGAGGAAGGCUUUUGGGUUGUAAACCUCUUUUGUUAAGGAAGAAGCAAGUGACGGUACUUAACGAAUCAGCAUCGGCUAACUCUGUGCCAGCAGCCGCGGUAAGACAGAGGGUGCAAGCGUUGUUCGGAAUUAUUGGGCGUAAAGCGCGCGUAGGCGGCGAGUUAAGUCGGAUGUGAAAGCCCGGGGCUCAACCUCGGAAGUGCAUCCGAAACUGGCUUGCUUGAAUCUUGGAGGGGGCAGUGGAAUUCCCGGUGUAGAGGUGAAAUUCGUAGAUAUCGGGAGGAACACCAGUGGCGAAGGCGACUGCCUGGACAAUGAUUGACGCUGAGGUGCGAAAGCGUGGGUAGCAAACAGGAUUAGAUACCCCGGUAGUCC
RNAcentral lists this ribosomal RNA (427 nucleotides) under uncultured prokaryote. RNAcentral's name for it is "bacterial SSU rRNA". It matches the Rfam family "Bacterial small subunit ribosomal RNA", at positions 355 to 796 of the family's 1533-position model. The record is from RNAcentral.